This 497-nucleotide ribosomal RNA is filed under the name uncultured bacterium. Its description in RNAcentral is "partial 16S ribosomal RNA". It matches the Rfam family "Bacterial small subunit ribosomal RNA", at positions 28 to 507 of the family's 1533-position model. The record is from RNAcentral.
GAUGAACGCUGGCGGCGUGCCUAAUACAUGCAAGUCGAGCGAACAGACGAGGAGCUUGCUCCUCUGACUUUAGCGGCGGACGGGUGAGUAACACGUGGAUAACCUACCUAUAAGACUGGGAUAACUUCGGGAAACCGGAGCUAAUACCGGAUAAUAUAUUGAACCCCAUUGUUCAAUAUUGAAAGACGGUUUUGCUCUCACUUAUAGAUGGAUCCGCUCCGCAUUAGCUAGUUGGUAAGGUAACGGCUUACCAAGGCAACGAUGCGUAGCCGACCUGAGAGGGUGAUCGGCCACACUGGAACUGAGACACGGUCCAGACUCCUACGGGAGGCAGCAGUAGGGAAUCUUCCGCAAUGGGCGAAAGCCUGACGGAGCAACGCCGCGUGAGUGAUGAAGGUCUUCGGAUCGUAAGACUCUGUUAUUAGGGAAGAACAAAGGUGUAAGUAAAUAUGCACGUCUUGACGGUACCUAAUCAGAAAGCCACGGCUAACUACGUG